RNAcentral lists this long non-coding RNA (226 nucleotides) under Elaeis guineensis (African oil palm). Its description in RNAcentral is "long non-coding RNA (EGUI_LNC016991)". The record is from RNAcentral. Lineage: Eukaryota; Viridiplantae; Streptophyta; Magnoliopsida; Arecales; Arecaceae.
CCGGCCAACCGGAAUACUUGCUAGAGAGACUCGACUAAGUCAUCAUAUUAUGAAUGAUAAUACCAAUAGUAGAUGAGCACCAGGCCUUUGGGCCUCUAAUGAUCAUCAUACUAAUGGACCCAUUAUCACCUAACUUAAUGGGAGGCCAUGAUUUAGUUAUCACCAUAACUAUCUCAUUUUAGAGAUCUAAUAAUUUAGAAAAUUUAAUUUAUGAAUUAAGAGAAGA